This 465-nucleotide ribosomal RNA is filed under the name uncultured bacterium. RNAcentral's name for it is "partial 16S ribosomal RNA". It matches the Rfam family "Bacterial small subunit ribosomal RNA", at positions 28 to 507 of the family's 1533-position model. The record is from RNAcentral.
GACGAACGCUGGCGGCGUGCUUAACACAUGCAAGUCGAACGGAAAGGCCCCUUUUGGGGUACUCGCGUGGCGGACGGGUGAGUAAGACGUGCGUAACUUGCCCUCGCUUUCGGGAUAACUACCGUAAACUGGGGCUAAUUCCUGCUAGGAAUCCUUGCCGCCUGGUGGGGGUUGGAAAGCUUCGGUGGUCUUGGAUGGACUCGCGGCUUACUUGUCUGUUGGUGGGGUAGUGGCUUACCAAGGCUUUGAUGGGUAGCUGGCCUGAGAGGGCGACAGGCCACAUUGGGGCUGAGAGACGGGCCAGAGACCUACGGGGGGGAGAGGGGGGGAAUAUUGCACAAUAGGCGGAAGCCUGAGGCAGAGACACGGCGUGCGGGAUGAGGGGCUUCGGGGUGUAAACCGCUUUCAGCAGGGGCGAGGCGUGUGGUGACGGUACCUGCAGAAGGAGCACCGGCUAACUACGUG